AGUGAACGCUGGCGGUAGGCCUAACACAUGCAAGUCGAACGGCAGCACAGUAAGAGCUUGCUCUUACGGGUGGCGAGUGGCGGACGGGUGAGGAAUACAUCGGAAUCUACUUUUUCGUGGGGGAUAACGUAGGGAAACUUACGCUAAUACCGCAUACGACCUACGGGUGAAAGCAGGGGAUCUUCGGACCUUGCGCGAUUGAAUGAGCCGAUGUCGGAUUAGCUAGUUGGCGGGGUAAAGGCCCACCAAGGCGACGAUCCGUAGCUGGUCUGAGAGGAUGACCAGCCACACUGGAACUGAGACACGGUCCAGACUCCGACGGGAGGCAGCAGUGGGGAUUAUUGGACAAUGGGCGCAAGCCUGAUCCAGCCAUCCGGGGGGGGUGAAGAAGGCUUUGGGGUUGUAAAGCCUUUUUGUUGGGAAAGAAAAGAAGCAGGUUAAUACCCCGCUGUUCUGACGGUACCCAAAGAAUAAGCACCGGCUAACUUCGUG
Molecule: ribosomal RNA, 492 nt
Filed under: uncultured bacterium
Lineage: Bacteria
Description: partial 16S ribosomal RNA
Rfam family: Bacterial small subunit ribosomal RNA
Source: RNAcentral